Molecule: ribosomal RNA, 502 nt
Filed under: Aeromonas salmonicida
Lineage: Bacteria; Pseudomonadati; Pseudomonadota; Gammaproteobacteria; Aeromonadales; Aeromonadaceae
Description: bacterial SSU rRNA
Rfam family: Bacterial small subunit ribosomal RNA
Source: RNAcentral
GGGUAAUGGCUCACCAAGGCGACGAUCCCUAGCUGGUCUGAGAGGAUGAUCAGCCACACUGGAACUGANACACGGUCCAGACUCCUACGGGAGGCAGCAGUGGGGAAUAUUGCACAAUGGGGGAAACCCUGAUGCANCCAUGCCGCGUGUGUGAAGAAGGCCUUCGGGUUGUAAAGCACUUUCAGCGAGGAGGAAAGGUUGGCGCCUAAUACGUGUCAACUGUGACGUUACUCGCAGAAGAAGCACCGGCUAACUCCGUGCCAGCAGCCGCGGUAAUACGGAGGGUGCAAGCGUUAAUCGGAAUUACUGGGCGUAAAGCGCACGCAGGCGGUUGGAUAAAGUUAGAUGUGAAAGCCCCGGGCUCAACCUGGGAAUUGCAUUUAAAACUGUCCAGCUAGAGUCUUGUANAGGGGGGUAGAAUUCCAGGUGUAGCGGUGAAAUGCGUAGAGAUCUGGAGGAAUACCGGUGGCGAAGGCGGCCCCCUGGACAAAGACUGACGCUC